Molecule: unclassified non-coding RNA, 196 nt
Filed under: uncultured fungus
Lineage: Eukaryota; Fungi
Description: sequence contains ITS1
Source: RNAcentral
UUAACGAUUCAUGUGUUACUCAGACGUCAUGUUUGAACAGAGUUUGGGGUCCUCUGACGGGCGCGGACCAGCCGGAGCCGGCAGUCCCGGAGGACAGGCCCGUCAAAGCAACAGAGUUGAGUAGACAGAGGGUUGGAGAUCUACCCCGGAGGGCACGUUCUCAUUAAUGAUCCUUCCGCAGGUUCACCUACGGAAA